GCCGGGGGUGGUGGCCUGUGCCUGUAGUCCCAGCUACUUGGGAGGCUGAGGCAGAAGAAUUGCUUGAGCCUGGGAGUCAGAGGUUGCAGUGAGCCAAGAUUGCGCCACUACACUCCAGCCUGGGCAACAGAGCAAGAUUCUGUCUCAA
Papio anubis (olive baboon) is the source of this 148-nucleotide unclassified non-coding RNA. It matches the Rfam family "Metazoan signal recognition particle RNA". Rfam says of the family: The signal recognition particle (SRP) is a universally conserved ribonucleoprotein. It is involved in the co-translational targeting of proteins to membranes. The record is from Ensembl. Lineage: Eukaryota; Metazoa; Chordata; Mammalia; Primates; Cercopithecidae.